ACCCGCUGAACUUAAGCAUAUCAAUAAGCGGAGGAAAAGAAACCAACAGGGAUUGCCCUAGUAAUGGCGAGUGAAGCGGCAACAGCUCAAAUUUGAAAUCUGGCGUCUUUGGCGUCCGAGUUGUAAUUUGCAGAGGGCGCUUUGGCAUUGGCAGCGGUCCAAGUUCCUUGGAACAGGACGUCACAGAGGGUGAGAAUCCCGUACGUGGUCGCUAGCCUUUACCGUGUAAAGCCCCUUCGACGAGUCGAGUUGUUUGGGAAUGCAGCUCUAAAUGGGAGGUAAAUUUCUUCUAAAGCUAAAUACUGGCCAGAGACCGAUAGCGCACAAGUAGAGUGAUCGAAAGAUGAAAAGCACUUUGGAAAGAGAGUUAAAAAGCACGUGAAAUUGUUGAAAGGGAAGCGCUUGCAGCCAGACUUGCCUGUAGUUGCUCAUCCGGGUUUUUACCCGGUGCACUCUUCUAUAGGCAGGCCAGCAUCAGUUUGGGCGGUUGGAUAAAGGUCUCUGUCAUGUACCUCUCUUCGGGGAGAACUUAUAGGGGAGACGACAUGCAACCAGCCCGGACUGAGGUCCGCGCAUCUGCUAGGAUGCUGGCGUAAUGGCUGU
This 603-nucleotide ribosomal RNA is filed under the name uncultured fungus. RNAcentral describes it as "eukaryotic LSU rRNA". It matches the Rfam family "Eukaryotic large subunit ribosomal RNA", at positions 23 to 641 of the family's 3401-position model. Lineage: Eukaryota; Fungi. The record is from RNAcentral.